This 433-nucleotide ribosomal RNA is filed under the name uncultured bacterium. Its description in RNAcentral is "partial 16S ribosomal RNA". It matches the Rfam family "Bacterial small subunit ribosomal RNA", at positions 29 to 507 of the family's 1533-position model. The record is from RNAcentral.
AACGAACGCUGGCGGCAGGCCUAACACAUGCAAGUCGAGCGAGGACUUCGGUUCUAGCGGCGGACGGGUGAGUAACGCGGGGGAAUGUGCACUUCUCUACGCAAUAGCUCUGGGAAACUGGGAGUAAUACCGUAUACGCCCUAUUGGGGUAAGACUUAUCGGAGAAGGAUCAGCCCGCGUUGGAUUAGGUAGUUGGUGGGGUAAUGGCCUGCCAACCGGACGAUCCAUGGCUGGUUGGGGAGGAUGAUCAUCCACACUGGGACUGAGACACGGCCCACACUCCGACGGGAGGGAGCGGUGGGGAAUCUUAGACACUGAGGCCAAACCUGAUAAAGCCGUGCGGCGUGAGUGAGGAAGGCCUUAGGGUUGCAAAGCUCUUUGUGAUGGGAAGAUAAUGACGGUAACAGGAAAAGAAGCCCCGGCUAACUACGUG